Molecule: ribosomal RNA, 301 nt
Filed under: uncultured bacterium
Lineage: Bacteria
Description: partial 16S ribosomal RNA
Rfam family: Bacterial small subunit ribosomal RNA
Source: RNAcentral
CAGCAGCCGCGGUAAUACGUAGGUGGCAAGCGUUGUCCGGAAUUAUUGGGCGUAAAGGGCUCGCAGGCGGUUUCUUAAGUCUGAUGUGAAAGCCCCCGGCUCAACCGGGGAGGGUCAUUGGAAACUGGGAAACUUGAGUGCAGAAGAGGAGAGUGGAAUUCCACGUGUAGCGGUGAAAUGCGUAGAGAUGUGGAGGAACACCAGUGGCGAAGGCGACUCUCUGGUCUGUAACUGACGCUGAGGAGCGAAAGCGUGGAGAGCGAACAGGAUUAGAUACCCCAGUAGUCCCUGUCUCUUAUAC